Molecule: ribosomal RNA, 481 nt
Filed under: uncultured euryarchaeote
Lineage: Archaea; Methanobacteriati; Methanobacteriota
Description: bacterial SSU rRNA
Rfam family: Archaeal small subunit ribosomal RNA
Source: RNAcentral
CUCGAGUGCCAGCACCUAGUGCUGGCUGUCCCGCUGUCUAAAUAACAGUGGUUAGCAAGGGCCGGGCAAGACCGGUGCCAGCCGCCGCGGUAACACCGGCGGCCCGAGUGGUAACCGUUUUUAUUGGGUUUAAAGGGUCCGUAGCCGGCUUACUAAGUCUCUUGGGAAAUCUGGCGGCUCAAUCGUCAGGCGGCGAAGAGAUACUGAUAGUCUUGGGACCGAGAGAGGUGGGAGAUUCUCCAGGGGUAGGGGUGAAAUCUUGUAAUCCUUGGGGCACCACCGAUGGAGAAGGCAUCCCAACAAAACGCCUCCGACGGAGAGAGACGAAAGCUGGGGGCAAAAACCGUAUUAUAUACCCGGAUAGUCCCAGCUGUAAACGAUGCUCGCUAGGUGUCAGGUGCGGUGCGCCCCCCAUCGGGCGCCGCAGAGAAAACUUGAAGCGAGCCACCUGGAAAGUACGGUCGCAAGGCUGAAACUUUAA